UAGAUUGCAGAAGUGAUCUUACUUGUGCUGAGAGGAGUUACUCAGCUUCUCUUCUCAGCUGUUUUUGCAUACAUAUACUUAGAGUGUCAAUUCACUACUUUGUGGGACUUAAUUAGAAAUGGAUUAAGCCCUUUCUCUUUAAAACCCAAUUUGAACUGCUAUAGGUAUUUUCCUUAUCAUCCCUGCUCACAUGUACUAGGCACUGCCUAUAUAGCAAUUAAACUUUGCAUUUCUUUUUUACCAUCAGAAGAUAACCUUCCUCCCCUUCCCACAAGCCAUGGAGUCCUGCAGGUGUUUUUGGAGGUCUGACAGUUGUGCCUUCCCCAUGCACUCAAGUCCCUGGAAGAGCUGGGAGGCUGUGGACUGACCCUUUGGACACAGGAGAUUGCUGGUGGGGAAAACCUGCCCCAAGCAGUCUGGCUGGCUGGGUGUGCUGGCUCUGUCUGUGCCUGGCUGGAGCAGUUCCUCAUGGGAUUAUUGUGAAAGGUUGAGCAAGGAGAAGAGAUUGUUUUCAUCUCAUAAAGGGAACAACCAGAUUGUCUCACUGCUGUCUUUCCCCAGUGUGCGUCAGAAUACUGUUAAUUUAGGAGUUGGAACCCAGUGGAGGAUUUUCUGAUUCUCUACCAUGUGUUUGCCUUUGUGAUUCCAGUUUCUCUGUCAUCCUUUGGGGAUGUUUCUUCCCUGACAUCUUCAGCCUUACCAGAACUUAUUUUUGUUUCUGCCAGAGGAAACACUGAAAUUAAUAGUACUUGGUAACCAUUUUCUACAUCUUCAUCUGAUUGAUCUGAUUAUGUUAAGGCUGAGUCGAAUACUCCAUUAAGAGUUUCAACUGCUAUGAGAACUGAAGCAGGAAGAGGUUUCCCAGGAGACUGACUGUGUGUGCCUGUGUGGAGCAGACUUGGCAGGGAAUUGGCCUGCACAAUUCCCUGCCAGAGAGCAGCACAGCUCCAGCACUUCUGUCACCAGAUACCUGGGGUGAUCCUGAGCUGGGAAUAGACACCUGCUGGCUCAGACUUUUUUAUCAUCCUGGGGGCUGCUCUUCCCUCCAGAAACAAGGGGAAUUCAUGCCUCUGCCUGUUCAUCUACAGGAAUAUUGAUGUAAUGCAGUGCCCCAUUUUGGGAAGCAGUGUUUUUCCAGGGAUGGAAAAGUGCUUGCUUUGUGGGAGGGAAUACUUCUUGCAAACAAGCACUGAAUUUCCUCAUUUUACUUUACUAGGGAUUUCUAUUGGAAAAUAAGGCUGGAGGGGGGAAGUUUGGAAUGAUUCUGGGAAGCUUUGACUCAGAAAAGGGAGAAUGAUUCAUGUUAUUACUGUUAUUUAUUAAGGAGAACAGACCAUGAACCUGAUCUUUUACUUAUCUUUGGAAACCUAAAGCACUUAUGCAGUGACCCCAGAAGAGUUUGUGGGUUUGAAACAAGAUCUUCCAACAUAAAAGCUAAAUCCCAGCUGUGGGAGCUGGCCCACAACAUUUUAUGAGGAUGUACUCCUAUUACCUUCAUACUUGAUAAGUAUUUUAAUAUCCUUAGUGCUUCCCUUCUCUGUUUGUGAAACGGGGUGGUAAAUAAGGCUUGAAACUUGACCCUUUCUGUGCUGUGACCGUGGUCAGUUUAUCUCUGGUUAUUGCUGGAGUCUCAAUGUAAGAGGUUAUUCAAGAGUCUAGUUUUGAUGGGGAGAAUUUGAUUUCUGAGAAAACCAAUUUGUUUAGUAGUAACGUGUUUUGUCUUUUUAAUUUGGAAAUAAACAUUUAGUUCUCCAAAAAUAACUUUGCUGUUAAUAAUCAAAACCUAAGAUAAUCAAAGGUAUAAUUAGAAAGAAGGUCUUAAGCUCCAUCUUAAGAUAAUACUGAGAACUGUGAGAUAAUUUACAUUUGUGUUUGUAUUCUGCUGUGAAAAAUAGAUAAGUGCAACCUGAACAAUGUUUUAAUUAUAUUUGGUAAGAGAAUUUAAAUGAGGAAAAAUCAAAAUUUGACACAGUCUAUGUCCCACCUGCAACUUCAUUAUUGUAUUUCAGAAGGCAGUAUAACUUCAUCUUUUAGCUAAUUCCUUAGGUCAGUUCUUUAAGGAAUCAAUCAGACAAGGUUCUGUCCAUUUUAUGAAAAUAGAAAGGCACUUGACUGUGUCCACACAGUUUUGUCUUCUCCACUUGUAGUAUCAUACUGUACACCCCUAAUACUUUUGGGUGUGCUGUCAGAGGCUGAGAAUCAGAGAAGUUAAGAGAGAGUUUUAACUCAUAGGUUUAAGUUCUAGAGUUAGAGACUGUAACAAAUAUCUCCAUUACCCUCCUGAAAAAUCCUGUUAGCAAAGCGGUCCCAUCGUAUCUAAGUUACUGGCUUGAGUAUUGCUUGUAUUGUCUGUUAAAGUAUAGCAGCUCAAUCUCAGAGAUUGAGAAGGCAUGCAAAGACUCUACUAGCGAAAAAAAAUGGAUAGAAAGGACGAAUUGUCACAGCAAGUAUAGAGACUUGAACUUAGACUGUAUCUCAGUGCACUGGCGAAGGCAAAGUCCUCAGCUUCCACAACUGUGAAUCAAACACUUCUGACCAACUUAACACCCAUCCCAGAAGGAUUUCCUUACAGGCUCAAGAAAACUGAUUUGUGUCAGUUGGAAUAAUCACACUGCUCAAAGUUAACAGGUCUCCAAGGUUUUGGAUAAUCAACAGAAAUCUUAAUUGCGUUCAACCCCAGAUAAGAAUUUAUCAGUAAUAACAGAUAUUUAGUUGACAUGUAAGCAGUCCUGUGAGGUCACCAAAAAACAUUUCUUGGAUCAUAUCUGUUAGUGGAGUUGAAAGUUUUCUUUGCUUAAAGGUCCAAAGUAAUGUCAGCCACAUGGCCAUGGAAGAGAUGUGAUAAGGCAUUGAAAAUCCAUCAGUGUUUUCUUCAUAAAGCUGCAAAAUAAACACAUUGAACUUUGCUGUAGUCAAUUUAUGCCUGAAAUCAUCUUGUCCUGUGUCCUGUGAGAGAAUCUGAGAAACUGUUGUGGAAGAAAGAAGAUCCUCUGUCAGGAUUGUGAAUACCUUCCAAAACUGAACUCAAACAGUGAGCUAUGCACUCAAGUACUGGAGUCUAUGGGUGACAUUACAGGGAGGGGCUGCAUAAGAACAAACAUAUGUCAAACAUAUUGUAGAGGUUUCCUCCUACUGGGCUUGGACUUUGUAGCUCUCUUAGGUUGCCAGAAUUAAACACGAUACACAGUUUGUGGCUUUUGUGUCGUAUUUCUUAAUGCAGUGCCUGAUGUACAAAUCGAAUACUGCAGCAGGAUACAGGGAUCAAUAGUUACCUUACCAAGUGACCUGUCUCCUGUCCUUGCUUUGACCUCUGGAGCUCUCCUUGGCUAUCCUCAUCUCCCUCCCCAAAUCAGCAAUCUCUGCAUAAAGGAAAUGAGCAUCAAGAUCGUUCCCAGCAAGAAGUAUCUUCAUAAUAAGAACAAAAUCUCUAUUUCAUGGAAACAUUUUAUGAGUCAACAUGCCGAAAUCCACAGUUCAGGCAGUUCAUCCCAAAGAUCAUUAUUAAGUAGUAGGGUUAAGAACUGUUUUCUUGGGAGUGAUUUUGCUACUUGGGCAAAUCUCUCACAGGUACAGCCUAUUAGGAAGUGCAGACCUCUUCCUAUAAACAAGCAAGCAAAAACAAUCCAAAGGACAGCAAUGAUCUGUUGCCUUGCCAGCAGGGAAAGUCCAAGAGAAGGCAUAGACUUCAGCAGAAGUAGAAUCUUGGGGGGAAAAGCUGUCGUCUAUAAUGGGAUUUUUUGAAGGAACCAUUUAUUCUGUACAAAAUUGUCCAGUCAAAAGAGCUGAUGAGUUUAAGGAACCAGCAGAAAUACCCAAGGAAAAGCUCAGGCAGCCCAGCCUGGUUAUUGAAUUGAAUGCAACACUCUCUUUGUAUAGUACAGGUGGGCCUGAGAAGAGAUUUAAGUCAUCUGCUAUGCAACAUGAUUUACUUUGCCAUAGCCAAUUUCAUCUGCAGCAGCCAACACUGAUUUUUCAAGUGGGUAACUCCAGCAUUUGCAGUCUGAGAAUGCAGCCCCUUUUUUUAUCUUUUUUUCCUUUUUAUUUUUUUUCUCUUUUUUUUUUUUUUUAAAUUGAAGAUGAUCAAAAGAACUCAAAUUACAGGAACUUCCCUCACCUGAGAGGCACAGAGUUUGGUAAGUAGAUCUUUUUGAAAAUUCUCUUAAGAACACCCCUAGCUUCAGCCUGGUGAUUCAACACUGAUAUGUUCCUCUUUUCUCCUAGGAAUAAGAAUUCCAGUACCAGCAAGAAGCAUCCAGAAGAGUCUGUGGAAGCAGCUACCUGGAGCAGCUCUCUUGCUGUUUUCCACCUGCAACCUCAUGAGCCUUGUCUCUAAAUAGCUGCGUUUGGGCUUUCUCCUGAAAAGCACUGAGUACUCUGCAUAUUGUUAAACAUUUUCCCAUCUGGUUUUGGCUUCACAAUGGAUUUCUCCUGAACCCUGAAAGCAGUGAAUUCUUUUGAAAGAAAAUUACCUGACUGAAGCAGAAUACAAUAUGAAGAGUCUUCCACAUGUUAGUCCUAUAUCCAGGAAGCCUCCCUUCAGGAUUAGUGGUUCCUCAGAUGCUUUGAUGGCCAGGGCUGGCAGUGCUCUCACAGGCAGAGCAACUUUCAGGUGGCCUCCUUGGCUCUGGUUUUGCCUCAAGUUGUUUUUACUUCUCUUUCCUCAGAGCUGUUUUUCCUUGUCAGCUCCUCUUCUUCCUCUUUUACUCAUGUUCUUCAAGAGCAAAUUCUCAUAAACUUACCUCAUGGUUGCUCUGUCUCCACCUUCUGCUCAUUGUAUUUCAGUAUUAUAUUUCACUUGUUGUGGUUUAUUUUUAAUCAAACCAUAUCACAUUACUUUUUGGGGCUACAGAAGAGUGUUUGACAUGUUUAAGUUGCCACUGUGAGGUUCUUCUCCAAACAGAAUUCAAACCAUUAUGUUGCAAUCUGUACCAGAGCCUUUCUAGCAGCUGUGUUUAUACAGCUUCUAGUAAAAUGGGUCCCUGAUUAGGAUUUUUGAAUAGCUCAUUCACUGAAAAAAUGGUGUUUUGAACCAGCUAAAGCUAUUUUAAAAAUUGGGAUAAUAUAUGAUUAAAAGUUUUGGUUUGAAGAAAUCAGUGGCAACACCCUGCCAAAUUUUAGGCCUCAAACAUCCUCACCAUUAGUAUCAUAAAGAUUAAGUUACUGGAUUUUAACUGGGAAAGAAGUGGUUUUCUUUUGCUUGUUAAAAAAAUUAACUGCAAAAGUAAUUUGUCACAGAUUGAAAAUUUAAUGUUUAGUCACCCAAAAUUGUUGAAGCUCGGUAAAUUAGAUAAAACUGAAGACAGGUUCUUUUUUUUUUAUUUUUUUUAUUUUUUUUAAUUUUCCAGCAACAAUGAUUUGAGGGCAACUUAAUCUAGAAUAGAAACUGGACAUUAGGCAGUUCUGGGGUUGCUCCACUGUUAUCAAGACAAGCUUUUUGAAAAACCAAGCCCCAUCCUCAGCUGAGUGACACUGACACACACCACACACUGUGUGUUGGGCAGGUGGGUUUUCAGGAGCCUGUCUGCUCCUUCCAUGCCAGGCAACCUCCUCAGGAGGAUGUAGAAGCAAUAGCUGCUGUCUCAGCAGCAGUGCCUUCUGCAGGGAACCCUGAGGCUCUUCCUCCCACUGGUGAGGCUGGGGACAAAAGGUUUCUCAUCUUUGCUGUUCCCCAUGGUGGAGGUGGCAGCUGCAUUUCCAGAAUUCUGCAGGUUAUUUGUGUUCAUGCUGCAGACACCGGCACUGUACAAAACUAAAGGCACAUUAAGGCAGGGAAACACCAAGUGCUGCUUCUGCUCCAUUAAACUGGAACUCAGGAUUAAAGGACCAAAAGCUACUUCGACUGACAAACUUCAUAUUUAAAUGUUUUUUAAAUUGUAAACUAAGAGCAAAGAUUUAUAAGUUUGUGUCAUGAUCCAUAAAUCUAGAUUUUGUCCUUUGCCUCUAGACAAAUGGCUUGUAGAGGAAUUUGUAGUGGUUUGGAUAAGUCUAGGUUUCAGCAGUCAGCCCUCUUAAGUCAGACAUAUAUGAAACAUCUGUGAUUGUUUCAGGAAUUUGGCAGACAAUCACAUGCUUAAAUCACAUUUUCCCCUUUGAACACUGGAAAUGUCCAUAUAUAAAUUAGACACACAAGCCACAUAACUCUGCAUUUGUGAAUUGGACACGGUAUCAACCUGCUGUUACCUCGCAAAUCCUACUGCAAGGUAAGAGCAAGUUGAUACCUUGCCAUAGUGAAAGUGAGCAGUGUAAAGUUUUUUAAAACUCCCUAACUAUUUUGUGCCCUGAAAUAAAACCUCAGAGCUUUGAGGGGAGUUGUUGCUAAAUGGCAGGCUACUUUAGUGUUCAGAAUUUGCCAGUUAGCCAAAAGACUAAGACUGAAAUCAAAAGGUUCUUUGAGUAAAUUUUUACAAACCCUCCUUUCCAAGCAGAAUUACUGGGUUACAUGUGUAGCUGUCACAUGCUGGGCCCCUGAGUACAUUCACCAUGCUGUUGUGCAGAGUCUGUCUAGAAUCAUCUCAUCCUGUAAUGAGAUCAUGUGAAUUCAAAGCAUAUGAAACUUAAUCCUAGUUUUCAGGAUGAUACCCUGUAAAUUUAAAAUUGCAGAGUAUAAAAAACACAUAAUGUUCCUGACUGCUUAUUAUAAAAAAUGGGGCCCAGCUCAUUAUGGAGCAGCUUUGGUUCUGGCGCUGAAAGCAGAAUUUGGUAAAGGAACUUCAGUGGGAGAUUGAAGCUGAUGUCUGGUGACCUUUGUCAAGCAGAACAAAUGAUUCUAUGUUUGCUAGAAUUGUAUUAGUGCUGGAUGCUUCUGGUACAGCCUGAGCAAACGAAGUUUACAAGUCUGGCUGGCUGUCAGCAAACUUUGCCUUUUGAUUAAGUCUACAAAUGCUGCAGCAUGGACCCUCCAGGUAGGAAUUUAGGUUCUGCUUUAUUUGAUGCCUUCAAUAGUUCUAGAAAGUCAUUUUGCUUGUAAUAGAAAAGCGUGAUGAAAACAGACAUAAUCCUAAAUAAUGUGUUAAAAUCAAUUGUUGUGUCUUAGAUUACUGCAUAGGACAUGUCCUUUGGUACACACAGGAGUUGUUUGAACAGUUAAAGACAGCAAGGAAGAGGCUGUCACACACAUACAGGCUGUACCUCUGUGAACUCCAGCUCUGGCAUGACAAAGCAGAGCUAUCUACUAUUUAAGCUUAACCCAGCUCAUAGUGGACACAGAGCCAAAACUAGGUAAGAAAAUGCUCCCCAAAAGAGAAGCCAAAAUUUGCAGCCAGUCAUUGUCUUUUGUAUGAAUUACCUUUAAGAGCUAAAGGCUACAUGCUUCUGACUUGACCACUGAAAUGCUGUAAAUUUACUGUGGAAGUACCCUUGGUAGCUUUGAGCUUGAGGAUGUACAAGGUUUCUUAGCAGCAUUCAGUGACCUGUCUUGUGUAAUGCCAGGCAUUUCCAUGUUCAGCUCACUGCUUUAUUCUAAGGACAAACUUAGUUGGUUGCCAGUAGUCCCUCUGUGGCAGCGAUUUUGACUCUGCCUGAUUGAGCAGCAUCACACUGGAGGGAAUAAAGGUGGAAGGAUUGUCUUCCCCAAAGCUAAUGCUGGGACAAAAAUUACCUACACUGGCUCCAAUAUGUCACUGAUGUGGAAAACAGGCUUAUUGUUUUCUUCUAGCACUUUCUGCCACCUCCUUUACCUUUCUUUCCUUUCUGUCUUCUGUACUUUGGCCUCACUGCUCUCUCCUAUAUAUCUCUCUCUUCUUUCAGUUAUUGUUCCUUUACAUGCUUAAUCCAAGGCAUCCCAGUUCUAACUGGGUUUUUUUGCCUUAUUCCCUGGGAAACAUCUAUAUCCUUUCUGUUCCCUUCCCAGGGUGUAUUUUUAUGCGAGCAUUGGUGCAUCUCAGCCAGUUGCAAGCCUCCCUCUCCUCCAGCUGAGCGAGAACUUGAUAGCAACAGACUGUGUGCCUGACUGGACUAAGCUGAGCAUCUCCCCUUUGGAUAUUCUUGGUGGCUGCUGCCAUGCUCCCCACAGCAUGGCCCAGUUUCUCUCUCUGUGGUGAUGAGAGGGUUGGCAUAGAAACUGUAAAGCAACCUGGCAUCUUCCACAACUUUAUUUAUUUGCCCCUUGAAGAAUGUAACUUUCCUUUUAAGGAAGACAAACCUAUUUGGAAGAUAUUCUUGACAUCUUUGGGGUAAUGCAGUGUAGUGUUUCUCUUGCCAGCCUAUCUGAACCAUUUCAGGAGGUUGUGGUGGGUUAGAGCUGAUUGGCAGCUGUCAGUCACUGGUUCUGCAUUGUCAGUGUUUUUCUUAGGCAGGCUGAAUUGCCUGAUGGAGCUCUCUGGAAUGUAGCAGGAGGCAGUGCAGCAUUUUAAAUUAAUUGCUUGUGGAGAUAGCUGCAGGAUUGUGGUGUCAGAAAAUAUUGCUAAAUCUCGAGGGAUUUCUUGGCAUUUUGUUGCCACAAUAAAGUCAUAGUUGUCAGAGUGGCUUAGUACAGCCACCAAUACAUGUACACUUAUUUAUGCAGCCUGAAAAUGUAGUGCAAUAAUAAAAUACUCUAUUUACAUUUCUGAGACUUGCAUUCGAGUCUACUAAUGCUACUUUUGUCAUUGUCUAAAUGCAUAUUUCUUAUAUAUGAAAUUUAUAGAGAUGUUAAGAAGAGUUGUCAGUAAAGUCACGUUUUGCAACCAGUCUUAAACAUGAUCCUAACUUGUGGGUUUGCAUCUCUGUUGUUUUUUUACCUAAGCAUUUCAGUUUUGGAAAUCCAUAUUUAUAAGGAAUUUGUUCCACAGUAGAAUUGCCAUGGCAUUGUUAAUACCGGGAUGACAAGAGGCCUGAAAAUGAAGUGUUGAGCAAACAAAAGCAAUUUCCACUUGAGCUUUUUUCAACUGUCCUGAAGUCCAUCCAGUCUGUGUUGUGGAGCAUUUGCAAAGUAAGAUUAAUUCUGUGCAGAACUGCUGCUGAGUUACAGGAAGGCAGUCAGCUGAGACCAAAAAAUGAGGUUCCUGUGUCUCCAACUUUCACCUUUCAACCAGUCAAAAUUUUGCUUGCUUUGAGAAUGUAAAGGUAUCUGUUUUACUGUGUGUCGUAGUUGAAACAUCCACAUUCAGGGUUAUGUUCACUAUAAAUUAUCUUAGUUGCACAAGUGUGAAAAACACUUGUGCUGUAUGGUGUUUUUCUCACACUGUAUUUGUGUCCGUUCCUCUUGUGUCCAGUGAGAUGUUUCAAUUAAAGCAUUACAGUUAAGUCAGAAGAGCAUCCACCCUGUCAGCAACUUGGAGAAUGCUCCAAUUAUCUUCUUACCAUGUCUGUGGGACUAAACCAUGAACAUCCCUGCCAGGUUGCUCAGUCGUUCUGGGCCAAGCAGGAUUGCUUACAUGAGUAAAAAAUUCAAUGUCGUCUUGCAGUGCUGCUUAACAAAGUUGUGCCCACACUGGUCAUGGUAGAGUGUUACUGGAGGAGCUUUCCUCAUGCUUAUCUGUGCUUUUACUCCUUCCAUUUGUCUUGUUGCCUUGGUGCCUCUCGCUUCUGGGUUUUUCUUUAGGAGGAGCUUUAUGUUUCUGUUAGGAUACAUUUGUGAAUUCACUGCUUUUUCUCCCAGAACUUAAACUGGAGACAGAUUUUUAGUAUGUUUUACAGAACAGAUGUGAAAUCCAAGCUAAUUAAACUAAUCUGAUAAAAUAGGUUUUAGAAUUAAUCUAAUGUGCUACUCUGUAAAAAGCACACAUCAGCAGUACUUAUUGUCUGUAGCUACAAGAGUGUGGAAAAAAAAAAGCCCACAUGCAUUCAGCUGCUGCAGCAGCAAAGAAUUUCCUUAGAACAGUGGACAUGAUAAUCACAAUGCAGUGUGUUAGCCUAAACUUGCUAAUAAAGGUUUGUGCUCAGACCCAGUCUCACUGAGAAAGGAGAGACUGAGCUGAAAAUCAUCUGUGGAAACCUGGCAGAUUUGUGAGUUGGGUGAAGAGAAGAUAAAAUAUGAUUUUCAGGCUGUAAUGAAAGAUGGUUUUGGAGGACGUGUGCAUGUGCAAGGAGCCUGAGGGAGGAUGUGGAAGAUAGGAAAUUCUGCGUCUUUGAACACUGACAAAUCACCUGGCUCUGCUUAAUGAUCUGACAGCAUCUUCUCACCAGCUGCAUUAAGAUUUGGGCUAUUCAUCACCUUCAUAGAUUCAUAGCAUUAGGUAGCACAACUUUUCUAUCAACACAUGAUUUUUCCUGGCUGGUGAGCUGAAGAAAAGCUUCUUACAGUUCCUUCAGUAGGGGAAGUACACAAACAGGCAGGUUCUACUCCAUGUCAGAUUAUGGGAUUUGUGUCUCUGAACCAUUUUUGUCUGCCACAACCAUUUCAAGUUUGAGACAUUGAUUCCAGAAACUGGUAUUUUGCUAUUCAUCAUUAAAGAUUUGGUCAAAGGUUUCUUCUGAUCGAUUUAUUUUUGCCUUCAUAAACUUGCCUCUCAGUAAGACUUCCCAGUGUCUACUGUGAUGAAUUUAGGAAUGGCUGAAGAUCAUAAAAAAAAAAAAAUGGAGAGGUUUUCAUAGAGAUAGCAUUUGUUUGGGGAAGCAGUGGUAUCUUUACCAUUUAUUACUGGGAAGCAACUUUGUCAUCCCAUUUGUUGGGAGACAGCUGUGUACAGCUGCUGGACAGAACUAGUUUUUAGAAAGCUGGUUUAUAAGAAGUGACAUUCAUCACUGAUCCACUGAAGUGCCUUGGUGCUGCCAAGACUAAUGGGUACACUGUAACAUCAGCAACCAUAUUGAAAUAAAAAAUGAUAGGUCUUACAGUG
This is a long non-coding RNA of Parus major (Great Tit), 10757 nucleotides long. RefSeq lists it as uncharacterized. The record is from RefSeq and is a predicted model, not a curated record. NCBI's taxonomy places the organism in Eukaryota, Metazoa, Chordata, Aves, Passeriformes, Paridae. The transcript has 2 exons.